This 346-nucleotide ribosomal RNA is filed under the name uncultured fungus. RNAcentral's name for it is "eukaryotic LSU rRNA". Lineage: Eukaryota; Fungi. The record is from RNAcentral.
AGAGUUAAAUAGUACGUGAAAUUGCUAAAAGGGAAACGCUUGCAGUCAGUGUUGGGCGUCGGAAAUCAGCUAGUCAGCGAUGGCUGGUGCACUUUGCGGGGUCCAGGUCAACAUCGGUUCCUCUGUGGGUUAGAUCAGGGCAGGAAGGUGGCUCCUCCGGGAGUGUUAUAGCCUGCGUGAGUGGCCUGCAAGGGACCGAGGAUAGCAGCGCAGGCCUUCGGGCUGGCGAACCGGGGGCUGUCUUUCUACAGGCUAGUAGCAGCAUGCUGAUGCUAGUUUGCGGAGAGGCACACGUCCGGGUAGCACAUGUGCGUUAAGGAUGUUGGCGGAAUGGCUGUAAGCGACC